AUUGAACGCUGGCGGCAGGCUUAACACAUGCAAGUCGAGCGAGCGGCGGACGGGUGAGUAAUGUAUGGGGAUCUGCCUGAUAGAGGGGGAUAACUACUGGAAACGGUGGCUAAUACCGCAUACCAUCGGAUGUGCCCAGAUGGGAUUAGCUAGUAGGUGGGGUAAAGGCUCACCUAGGCGACGAUCACUAGCUGGUCUGAGAGGAUGAUCAGCCACACUGGGACUGAGACACGGCCCAGACUCCUACGGGAGGCAGCAGUGGGGAAUAUUGCACAAUGGGCGCAAGCCUGAUGCAGCCAUGCCGCGUGUGUGAAGAAGGCCUUAGGGUUGUAAAGUACUUUCAGCGAGGAGGCGUUACCCGCAGAAGAAGCACCGGCUAACUCCGUGCCAGCAGCCGCGGUAAUAC
RNAcentral lists this ribosomal RNA (406 nucleotides) under uncultured bacterium. RNAcentral describes it as "partial 16S ribosomal RNA". It matches the Rfam family "Bacterial small subunit ribosomal RNA", at positions 30 to 526 of the family's 1533-position model. The record is from RNAcentral.